This is a non-coding RNA of Amniculicola lignicola CBS 123094, 87 nucleotides long. The record is from the annotation of a GenBank genome assembly. NCBI's taxonomy places the organism in Eukaryota, Fungi, Ascomycota, Dothideomycetes, Pleosporales, Amniculicolaceae.
GGCUUCAUGGUCUAGUGGUAUGAUUCCUGCUUUGGGCUUAGUGUUCAAACCUGCAGGAGGCCCCGCGUUCGAAUCGCGGUGGAGCCC